GGGUUGUGAGGUUAAUCGACUAAGCGUACACGGUGGAUGAACUGGCAGUCAGAGGGGAUGAAGGACGUGCUAAUCUGCGAAAAGAGCCGGCGAGGUGAUAUGAGCCAGUGCCCCGGCG
RNAcentral lists this ribosomal RNA (118 nucleotides) under Enterobacter cloacae. RNAcentral describes it as "partial 23S ribosomal RNA". It matches the Rfam family "Bacterial large subunit ribosomal RNA", at positions 1 to 109 of the family's 2925-position model. Lineage: Bacteria; Pseudomonadati; Pseudomonadota; Gammaproteobacteria; Enterobacterales; Enterobacteriaceae. The record is from RNAcentral.